RNAcentral lists this ribosomal RNA (998 nucleotides) under Pseudomonas sp. Nabil. RNAcentral's name for it is "partial 16S ribosomal RNA". It matches the Rfam family "Bacterial small subunit ribosomal RNA", at positions 114 to 1107 of the family's 1533-position model. The record is from RNAcentral. Lineage: Bacteria; Pseudomonadati; Pseudomonadota; Gammaproteobacteria; Pseudomonadales; Pseudomonadaceae.
UGCCCAUGAAUCUGCCUGGUANUGGGGGAUAACGUUCCGAAAGGAACGCUAAUACCGCAUACGUCCUACGGGAGAAAGCAGGGGACCUUCGGGCCUUGCGCUAUCAGAUGAGCCUAGGUCGGAUUAGCUAGUUGGUGAGGUAAUGGCUCACCAAGGCGACGAUCCGUAACUGGUCUGAGAGGAUGAUCAGUCACACUGGAACUGAGACACGGUCCAGACUCCUACGGGAGGCAGCAGUGGGGAAUAUUGGACAAUGGGCGAAAGCCUGAUCCAGCCAUGCCGCGUGUGUGAAGAAGGUCUUCGGAUUGUAAAGCACUUUAAGUUGGGAGGAAGGGCAGUAAGCUAAUACCUUGCUGUUUUGACGUUACCGACAGAAUAAGCACCGGCUAACUUCGUGCCAGCAGCCGCGGUAAUACGAAGGGUGCAAGCGUUAAUCGGAAUUACUGGGCGUAAAGCGCGCGUAGGUGGUUCGUUAAGUUGGAUGUGAAAGCCCCGGGCUCAACCUGGGAACUGCAUCCAAAACUGGCGAGCUAGAGUACGGUAGAGGGUGGUGGAAUUUCCUGUGUANCGGUGAAAUGCGUAGAUAUAGGAAGGAACACCAGUGGCGAAGGCNACCACCUGGACUGAUACUGACACUGAGGUGCGAAAGCGUGNNGAGCAAACAGGAUUAGAUACCCUGGUAGUCCACGCCGUAAACGAUGUCNACUAACCGUUGGGUUCCUUGAGAACUUAGUGGCGCANCUAACGCAUUAAGUUGACCGCCUGGGGAGUACNGCCGCAAGGUUAAAACUCAAAUGNAUUGACGGGGGCCCGCACAAGCGGUGNAGCAUGUGGUUUAAUUCNAAGCNACGCNNAGAACCUUACCUGGGCCUUGACAUGCUGAGAACUUUCCNNANAUGGAUUGGUGCCUUCGGGAACUCNNNCNCNGGGUGCUGCAUGGCUGUCGUCACUNNUGNNNUGAGAUGNUGGNNUAAGUCCCNNAACNAGCGCCNCCCNUG